AUACAGCGAAACUGCGAAUGGCUCAUUAUAUAAGUUCAUCGUUUAUUUGAUAGUGCCUUACUACUUGGAUAACCGUGGUAAUUCUAGAGCUAAUACAUGCUAAAAACUCCGACUUCGGAAGGGGUGUAUUUAUUAGAUACAAAACCAAUGCCCUUCGGGGCUCUUUGGUGAUUCAUGAUAACUAUACGAAUCGCACGGCCUUGCGCCGGCGAUGGUUCAUUCAAAUUUCUUCCCUAUCAACUUUCGAUGUUUGGGUAUUGGCCAAACAUGGUUGCAACGGGUAACGGAGGGUUAGGGCUCGAUCCCGGAGAAGGAGCCUGAGAAACGGCUACUACAUCCAAGGAAGGCAGCAGGCGCGCAAAUUACCCAAUCCCGACUCGGGGAGGUAGUGACAAUAAAUACUGAUACAGGGCCCUUUCGGGCCUUGUAAUUGGAAUGAGUACAAUUUAAAUCCCUUAACGAGGAACAAUUGGAGGGCAAGUCUGGUGCCAGCAGCCGCGGUAAUUCCAGCUCCAAUAGCGUAUAU
RNAcentral lists this ribosomal RNA (526 nucleotides) under uncultured eukaryote. RNAcentral describes it as "SSU rRNA". It matches the Rfam family "Eukaryotic small subunit ribosomal RNA", at positions 76 to 604 of the family's 1831-position model. The record is from RNAcentral.